RNAcentral lists this long non-coding RNA (1637 nucleotides) under Apteryx owenii (little spotted kiwi). RNAcentral describes it as "lncRNA (ENSAOWG00000017490.1)". The record is from RNAcentral. Lineage: Eukaryota; Metazoa; Chordata; Aves; Apterygiformes; Apterygidae.
CAGGAAGACACUUGCCUAUUAGCAUUCGCCUGCUGCUUUGCUGUGCUACACAUGGUACAGGCUGGGAAUACGUGCUCUGGGAUGGUCAGUACAUUUUUGGUCUUAGGAGAGCUAGUUUUUCAGUGCCAACUCAGUUUCUUUGGAGCUGAGGGAAUUUGCUUUGAAAGUUGAGAGAAAAACAUGCUUCACAGUUUUCACAGUUAAACUCACCAGAAAUUACUUCAUUUGUGGCUGUUUUUGGCUUUCAUGCCCCAGCUAUUUUGACAUUUCACAUAAGUUAAGUGACAGAGAAUUAGUCGGCAUGCAUACUUAAAUGCCUGUAUGUUUGUGGCCAUUUCACAUUCAGGCAAAGGGUCUAGCUUUCCCUCAUGGGAAUUUCCUCCUCCUAAAAUAUAUGCAUCAUUUACAAAGUUACUUCUGCACAGGAGAAGCCUCUAGUCAGAUGUAGUUUGCAUACUUUCCAGAUCCUUUUUACUGCCAUAGAAAGAAAGAUAAAUACAACAAAAGCCUUGAGUAGCAAAGUGGCUAAUCUUUAGGCCGGGGUCAGGUAUUUACUGGAGAAGCAGCUGUGCCAGUUUAAGAGGUGAUUGACAUCCAGCUGUUUGACAUCACUCCCCAGCGGCUGUACAGUCAGCCCUGUUGCAUAAUAGACAAGACUGUAUAAAAAAAUUCCUCGUUCUUUGCAGGGCAAAGUCAGCUGGGUAAGCUCAGAUAACUUCUGCUUACUAACCCUGCUGCCUUUGCACUGGAGCAGAUGAGGAGUGCCCAGGUGAUUUAUCCCAACAUCGGAGCUGUACCAGGAAGUGGGUAAUUUCCAGUUUGUGCAUGGGCAUGGACGUUUUCAAAUGCCACAAAACCAUCUCUGCAACGCCCACGUGACCAUGGCUCAGAAUAUACUCACUGUUUCAGAGGCUGUCAGUAACCGUCCUCUUCCAGACCCGGCUGUGCAGGCGAGGAUGGCAGGCAUCUGGCAUGGCUAUUCCCAGACGCUCAUGGCUCUUCCUGCAGCUCCAUGGGUCGGGAUGGUGCUACUACAGACAAAGCGUGCUGAGUUGUGCAGGAGGCGACUCUUGGCUAUGGUGAAAAUGCAAAACUGGAGGCAGAGGCAGCAAGACUUUCAACAGUCUGAGGUGUUUGCAAAGUGGAUAAUUGUGCAUGACCAGAGGAAUUGGAGUCUCCAUCCCGUCAUGCUUCUGAAGACCCACUGGCAUGCACUGGACAAGGAGAAGGCUUCUGUUAUCCAGCCAGAGAUGACGAAGGGGACCGAGGACACAUCGUGGACAACGGAUUGCGAAGGGCAAGCAGUCCAAUGACCUGCUUGCAAACAAUCCUGAUUUGAAAAUUCUUUAUCUAAUCUAAACUAAUAAUGACAAAUAGCCCUGAAAAAUAGUAGAAUCAAUUCACUAACCAAGCGAAGGCCUAGACUGAUAAUGAUAAAUUCACUCCAGUCUAAAUGUCCUUGUGGACCAUGGUUUUUAGUCUACAGAUAUUAAUUUGAAUUUUGGAUAGCUUUUCUAAGCUGCAUCUCCAAACUUUUUUGACAGUUGCUUAUCUUUGCUACUAAAAAUCAUUAGAUUGUUUAUUUGUGUCAUGCAAUCAAUAAGAAAAAUAAAAGAUACUAAAGCACUUUAUUUCCA